RNAcentral lists this ribosomal RNA (1616 nucleotides) under Elephastomus sp. NLG-2014. Its description in RNAcentral is "partial 16S ribosomal RNA". The stretch from base 963 to 1616 matches the Rfam family "Archaeal large subunit ribosomal RNA", at positions 1424 to 2693 of the family's 2987-position model. The record is from RNAcentral. Lineage: Eukaryota; Metazoa; Arthropoda; Insecta; Coleoptera; Bolboceratidae.
AACCUGUCCUAUAAUUGAUAACCCACGUUUAAAUUACUUGUUUCAGAAGUUUGUAUACCGUCGUAGAUGGACUAUUUUUUAAGAAUUUGUAAUGCUCAAGAAUUUUCAUUUGAAAGUAAAUCAGAUCAAGGUACAGCUAAUAUGCAAGGAGAGAUGGGUUACGUUGAAUAUAUUCAAGUAGGUUGGUCAUUGUAAUCGUGACUAGCAUUAUGAAUUUGAUAGUAAUGAAAUUUAACUUAUUUUCAUGAUUUUGCCCUAAAGCAUGUACAUAUCGCCCGUCACUCCCACCUUCAAAGUGGGAUAAGUCGUAACAUAGUAGGCGUACUGGAAAGUGUGCCUGGAUUGAUGGACCAGAGCUUGUUAGAAAGCGUUUUAUUUACACUAAGGAGUUAGUUGUGGAAAUCAACUUGGUUCAAAUUUACAUGAUUAUUACUGGUUGAUAAAAAAAGUAAUUUUUAGUUUUAUUACUUAUAAGGGAAAAAUAGUGUUAAUUAUAGUGAAUUAGUAUAGUGAUAGAAAUAUUAAAGUUUAAGUUAAAUGUUUAAAAGAAGAGUUAAUUUCUCGUACCUUGUGUAUCAGGGUUUAUUAAAUAAUAUUUAUAUUUGAUUAAAUUUCUCGAUUUUAAAAGAGCUAGGAGGUUAUAAAUUUUAUUGUUGAACAAAUAUUUCUAAUAAUCUUCUUGUAAUGAAACGUUAGUCGUUUUUAAAUAUAUCUAGUUUUUUGAGAAAUAAAUUUAAUUUAGUUAUUAGUUUGUGUUUAUUGGCUUAAUAGUUAGCCAUUCUCAACUAAUGGUAAAUAUCUCAGGGGAUAAGCUUUGGGAUAAAUUUUUAUAAUUACUGUCAAUUUUAUCAGAAUAUAUAGGAUUAGAAAUGUCCACUAUUAGUAGUUUGUUAUAAUUAGUUCUUGUAUGUAUAUGAUUUGUAUUUAUAUUUAAAUCUUUUAUCAAAAUUAUCUGUUUAAUUUGAUAACAGAUGUAAUAAUGAUAAAAUUAGUAUAAUUUUUUGUAUUCUUAAUUUUGUCUGUAAGGUUGGGUUAAGGAACUCGGCAAAUAGUUCUUCCGCCUGUUUAUUAAAAACAUGGCUUUUUGUUAUUAAUUUAAAGUCUGACCUGCCCAAUGAAAUUAUUUGAAUGGCCGCGGUAUUUUGACCGUGCAAAGGUAGCAUAAUAAUUAGCUUUUUAAUUGGAAGCUGGAAUGAAUGGUUGGACGAGAAGAAGACUGUCUCUAUCCAAAUUUUAUUAUAAUUUUAUUUUUAAGUAAAAAAGCUUAAAUGAUUUUAAAAGACGAGAAGACCCUAUAGAGUUUUAUAUUUUUAUUUGUCAGGAUGUUUUAGUAUCUGCUCUGAAUGACAGGUAGUAGUAUUUCGUUGGGGUGACGGGAAAAUUUGAUAAACUUUUCUUAUAUUUUCAACAUUGAUAUAUGAUUGAUUGGUCCAUAUUUUUGUGAUUAAAAGAUUAAAUUACCUUAGGGAUAACAGCGUUAUUUUUCUCGAGAGUUCUUAUCGAAAGAAAAGUUUGCGACCUCGAUGUUGGAUUAAAAUAAACUUCCGGUGCAGGAGCUGGAAAGUUAGGUCUGUUCGACCUUUAAAAUUUUACAUGAUCUGAGUUCAAACCGGAGA